RNAcentral lists this long non-coding RNA (5643 nucleotides) under Malus domestica (apple). RNAcentral's name for it is "long non-coding RNA (MDOM_LNC020083)". The record is from RNAcentral. Lineage: Eukaryota; Viridiplantae; Streptophyta; Magnoliopsida; Rosales; Rosaceae.
CCUUGAAGCUCAUCCUUGUUUACACAAGGGAUUCACCCAAGUGGAGGGCCUUCAAGUCACCUACUAGCUCCUUGGAUCUUCCUUGUGAUUUCCUUCCUUUACGCUCCUUUGCUCCUUGAGGAUGUGAAGAAAUGAUCUCCAAAAACACCAAAGAUUUGGUGUCUCUAAGUCUCCACACCAAGGAUGAGGUGUGAAGAUAAAAUGGAUGACUUAGAGAAGAAAAGAUUGCUAGCUAAAUCCUCUCUAAGUGGCCGGCCUCCUUGUAGAGAAAAAGAGAGAAAGUGUUUCACCUCUUUGCCUCAAGAAAAUCGUAAUGAGAAAAUAGCUAUAAAGUUAACUUUAUACUACAUCACAUUUGAGUGGCAAACUUGUAAUUAAUUCAAGUUUGCAUCCACUCUCCCUUAUGGCCGGCCUUGUCUUUGUUAUUGGGCAAAUUGCCCAUUUUGUUUUAGUUGUCAUACAACUUAAACAUAAUGGGCUUUGUGGACCAAAACACUUUUGGGCCCCGAAACCCAAAACCAACUUAAAAGCCCAAUACGAACCUUUCGUAAAAUUAAUUAACUAAUUAAUUAAUCUUCACCAUUUUCAAUUAAACCAUUUAAUUGCAUAUCCAUUUCAUUUAUAUUUCUUCACUUUCUUCCUUACUCAGUGUACGUCCAUUAGGUGUUGGAAAUGUGCCCUAAAACCAAUCAUAUGAUGAUACUUUACUGACAUUUCACAAGUUAAACUAAUGUAGUUUAAAUAUAAAGGGCAAAAGGUUAUUGUUUGAGUCCUCUCAUAUACAUGUUAUAUGCUUAAACGAUAAGUCCAAGGAAUAUGUGAUUGGGAGAAUGCAAUCUAAAGAAGUUAGAUUCAUGAGACCAUUCUUUUGUAUACAUAUCCUAAACGUUCCUGAUCAUAGGAUUGCCAACUGGGCAUUGACAGUCCGUUAAGAUCAGUACGUGCUGUGUCUUCUCUCAGGGAGAAUGACUAGUCUCGAGUCAUUGGUGUGUGUGACAUCAAGACAAGUAUGUAGGUGCUCAAUAGAGAAUGAGUUCACCGAACACGAUGAACGAAGAGUUCUCAUAUUCAUGUCACAUGAGAACUCAUGGUUGGGAUAAUGCAAAGUAGUCCUUUGACCUGAGGCAUCAUAGUUGUCUUGUGGUUAAGUCCUUGAUCUUUGAUUAUGUCAAAGUCACUCCAUUCGAGGGUGUCCACGGCAUAGUUGGUUAAGCCACUUAGCCAUGGAGGCAAGUGAAUGCGCAACAAGGGAUCUCUAACCUUCAAACCGUUUGAGAGAGAAUACUCUAUGAUAUAAUUAAGAAUCUCUGGCCAGAGUAUGAAUGAGAUUUAGGAAGUCAUUCCAAAUCACAUUCAAGGUAAUCAUAUAAGCACACGAAUCACAUUGGAUAGUAGACAUGAAUAAACUAUCAAACCAAACAAUGUGGUCAAAAGUAUUGUAUUAGAGAAAUACCGUAUUGCAUUUGUAAUCCUAAAUUGAAUAGGUUCUCCACCUCUUCUGAUUAGCUUGGGUAACCAUGAUAUGCUGCUAGGUGUCACUCAUGGUUUGUGGAAGCCCUAAACGUGUAUAAUCACUAAAGGGAGAAUUGAAAGUAAGUUUCAAUUCACAAUCGAUUUGAAAUGGUUUUAAUCGCCCACUGCCUCGCUAAAAGGGGCCUAAUGGAUCGUACACCGUGUAAGGUGGAGAUUGAAGAAACAAUGGAGAUGAGUAAGAAUAAUUAAAUGGUUUAAUUAUUUUUGGCAAGGAUUAAUUAAUAUGUUAAUUAAUCAAACGAAUAAGUUCGUUGAAGACCUCGGGAUAGUUUUGGACCUUAAGGCCCAAUGGGCUUCGAACGUCAAAGCCCAUGGACUUAAGUUGUAUGACAACUUAAUGAAUAAAGAUUCACAAGGGCCCAAAAUCCCAAAUCCCUCAAUUGGCCAGCCAUGUUACAAGAAUGGCUUUUUGGUUCUUUAGGUCACUUAUUUGAAGGGACUAUAUAAAGGACUUUAUAGCCUAAAUUCAUUAAAGGUUUUCUUUUGGAGAAAAUUGGAGAGAACAUGUCUCUCCCUUUCUCUCUAAAGAGGCCGGCCCCCUUGGAGGGAUUAGCUAGUAAUCUUUCUCCUCCAAGGUCACUCAUUUCUUCAUCAAUCUUACCUUGGUGUGGAGACUUAGAGGUUCUCAAUUUUUGGGAACUUGGAGAACCAUUUCAUCCAUCCAAAUCCAUAGAUCUAAGAUGCAAGGAAUGAAGGCCCUCUCUUUAGGUGAUUAGCCUUUGCAGAUGCAAAGAGGAAUCUACAAAGGUAUAAUUUCUCAACUCUUUUUUAUUUGAGUUGAGUCUUGGUUCACCAAUCUACUAGGCUUUGAAUUUCAUGGUUAAUGUUUUGUUUUUAAGUGCAUGCAAGCAUGAUUCCGCCUUUAAUUGUUAAUUGCAUGCUUAUAGAUGUUGCUUAAAUGAACAAGUUUUUCACAAAAUUUCCUUCAAGUGGUAUCAGAGCCUAGGUCUAGUAGUUGAUGAAUCCUUUUGGGUUUUGUAGUUCAUAGUUUUGAUUUAAAUGUUGUAAUAUGUUACAAGCUUUAUUCUUGUUUCUUUGAAUGUAAAUUUUUGUUAGAAAAUUUGCCAUCUCAAAUGCUAUAGAUGUAGUUCAUAUGAGCAUGAAUAUUGGAGCUAAAAUUUGGUGCCAUGUUUUUUGGAAUUUUCGGCCAAAUCCAAAGGGUGGAUUUUUGGGUUCUUGUUUGACUUGUUAAAAGUGUUUUCAAGUAACUUUUGGAACCCCUAUGUACCCUAGUUUGGUUAUAUGUUAUUUCCCUAAAGUUUGAAUGGUUUUGGGAUGUUUUUGGAGUAAAAAUGUUCAUGGAAAUUUUUUGGGUUUUUCAUGAAUGUUCUUCAUUGUUCUUGACAUUUUUGCCAAGAACAAAAAGUUUUGUGUUUUGAUUUAUUUCAUAAAGUUUAUGUUUUUCAAAUGUUUAAAUGUAUUAGAUAUUUGUUUAGAAAGGUGGUAGAAUUAUUGGUGGGUGUGUAAGGAUUAAUUCCCUUUCACACACACCACUUGCACCACUUGCAUGCUUUAUGUCAAAACUCACAAAUCAACACACACAUCACUCCUUUCCCUCUCCAAAACCGGCCACCCUUAAUGGGAGUACUUUUGGGGCUUUUAUGCAAUUACAUAAAGUUUUGAUACUUUUGUGUAUUUGCACUUUGGCCCAAAAGUUUACGUUUUUACGUUUAGUUCCAAAAACGCUAAAGGACAAAUUGUUUUUCUCCUUUAAUGAAGUUUUUGCAUUGUUUAAAUUUUGGGUUCUAGUUGUAAUUACAUGAAGUAGUGGACUUUUGUGUUUUUACAAAGUGACCCCAAAAGUUUAUGUUUUUGCAAUAUAGCCCAAAGGUUGUGGUAAUUGCAUAUUGGCCCAAAUUAGGAUGAGAACAAAAUGGUUUUGUCUCUUUAAAUGAGAAUUGGAUUUUCAUUUCAUUUAGCUCCAUUUAAAUCAAUUUUAUGGAUACAAAAAACCAAAUGAAAAUGUUGCAUUCAAUUUAAUUAGUUAAAGCGUUAAUUAAUUAAAGGGUGAUUAUGAACCUAAGCCUACGAUAAUUGAGCUAUGUGAAAGGCCGUUUCAAAUUUGUUUGAACCAUGGGAAUGUGUAGAUUAGAUUUUGGUUGUAAUUUGAUUUGAUCAAAUGUUGUAAAAGAGCUUAAGCUCUUCUUUACUUUAAAGUAAUUUGAAUCAUUCAAAUGUUGUAAAGAGUAUAAGCUCAUCUUUACUUUGAAGUACUUCUUUCUUGCUUUAUUUGAUAUGCAUGAAAUUGAAGUAGUUGGGUCCAACGCCCCUAAGACAACACGCCUUAAUGUGAUUAAACGCGUAACUAAAAUCAAUCACCAUCCCUAGACCGAGAUUCAACACUAGGCUCGUGUUGAAUCUAAACAAAGGUUCAUAGUCAUCCUAAGGCCCUAAGGCAACUAUAUAGUCCAUCAAAUGAAUGCAAAGUUUAUGUUAGUAGUAUCAUAUACUCUUGCUUUAAAAACCGUUUUAUAAGCAUAGUGGGAGUAUUAUAUACAACUAAAACAAUCAAAUGGACCAAUAGUUGUAAUAGGACCAAAAUUGUUUUAAUAAGAUUAAAAUGUAUGUUUAUAUAUGAUGAGACCUAAACCCCUCAACCAAACCAUUAUUAAGUUGACAAGCGUGAGAGUGCUUUGAACACUCUUUUGUGGCCUUCCACCGUGGUAGGCUCCAAUCGUUUAUGACUUGUACACCGCCUUCACCCUAUCAUGGGGGAGUGCAAAGUGCAUGCUUAUACUCAAGAGGAGUCUAUAUGCAUACUUGAUGUUGUGAAGCGUAGGCAACGAGAAUGAUCAACAUCAUAUCAUUGUGAGGUUGUUCUUGAACCUCUACCCGAACUUGCAUGGUGGGAAUGACUUAACUAAGUGCAAUGGAGCCAACAUCAUAUCAUUGUGAGGUGACAUUCUCUAGAGGCCAAAUAAGAUGGGUAAUCACAAGAGGUUGUUGUGAAUGAGUAAGCAUACUCUCUCAUUAUUAUUAAUGCUAGCCAACAUCAUAUCAUUGUGAGAUGGGCUUGGUAGUAGUGAGUCUCCCAUACCCUACUAAGAGUUUCCUCCAAAACUCUCGAAUUCCAAUGAGGGAUAUGGAAUUUGCCAAAAAUAGUGGGUGGUGCUAUUUGAUUUAAAGACCCGAAUCAAAUGGCUUAAAAUCAAUCAAUUUAUAUUCGUUAUGUAUUUGUUUACCAAUAUAUUUGCAAACGUUAUCCAAAACUUGACAAAGAAAAGCCGAAUGCUUUAGUUUUCCGGACUUGGUACCACAAUCCCAAAGAUUGUCUUAAAUGGAUUAUAUAUGUACCUAAGUAGUCUCAUCCUCACAAUCUUCCUAUUGAUAAUGUACCAUUGGAAGAAAAUGUUAGAUAAGUCUAUCAUAAGGAGGACAACACUUUUAAUGUGCUGUGUCUUCUCUCAGGGAGAGUGACUAGUCUCGAGUCAUUGGUGUGUGUGACAUCAAGACAAGUACGUAGGUGCUUAAUAGAGAAUGAGUUCACUGAACCCGAUCAACGAAGUGUUCUCAUAUUCAUGUCACGUGAGAACUCAUGGUUGGGAUAAUGAAAAGUAGUCCUUUAACCUGAGGCAUCAUAGAUGUCUUGUGGUUAAGUCCUUGAUCUUUGAUUAUGUCAAAGUCACUCCAUUCGAGGGUGUCCACGGCAUAGUUGGGGUUAAGCCACUUAGCCAUGGAGGCAAGUGAAUGCGCAAAAAGGGAUCUCUAACCUUCAAACCGCUUAAGGGAGAAUACUCUAUGAUUAAGAAUCUCUGGCCAGAGUAUGAAUGAGAUUUAGGAAGUCGUUCCAAAUCAUAUUCAAGGUAAUCAUAUAAGCACACGAAUCACAUUGGAUAGUAGACAUGAAUAAACUAUCAAACCAAACAAUGUGGUCAAGAGUAUUGUAUUAGAGAAAUACCGUAUUGCAUUUAUAAUCCUAAACUGAAUAGGUUCUCCACGUCUUCUGAUUAGCUUGGGUAACCAUGAUAUGCUGCUAGGUGUCACUCAAGGUUUGUGGAAGCCCUAAACGUGUAUAAUCACUAAAGGGAGAAUUGAAAGUAAGUUUCAAUUCACAAUCGAUUUGAAAUGGUUUUAAUCGCCCACUGCCUCGCUAAAAGGGACCUAAUGGAU